AUCCAGCUGAAGAGUUCCAAAUAGGACGAAACGCGCUUCACACUAGAC
This 48-nucleotide non-coding RNA is filed under the name Schistosoma margrebowiei. Lineage: Eukaryota; Metazoa; Platyhelminthes; Trematoda; Strigeidida; Schistosomatidae. The record is from RNAcentral.